AUUGAACGCUGGCGGCAUGCUUUACACAUGCAAGUCGAACGGUAACAGGCCGCAAGGUGCUGACGAGUGGCGCACGGGUGCGUAAUGCAUCGGAACGUGCCCAGUCGUGGGGGUUAACUACUCGAAAGAGUAGCUAAUACCGCAUACGAUCUAUGGAUGACAGCGGGGGACCGUAAGGCCUCGCGCGAUUGGAGCGGCCGAUGUCAGAUUAGGUAGUUGGUGGGGUAAAGGCUCACCAAGCCAACGAUCUGUAGCUGGUCUGAGAGGACAACCAGCCACACUGGGACUGAGACACGGCCCAGACUCCUACGGGAGGCAGCAGUGGGGAAUUUUGGACAAUGGGCGCAAGCCUGAUCCAGCAAUGCCGCGUGCAGGAAGAAGGCCUUCGGGUUGUAAACUGCUUUUGUACGGAACGAAACGGCUCUGGUUAAUACCCGGGGCUAAUGACGGUACCGAAAGAAUAAGCACCGGCUAACUACGUG
RNAcentral lists this ribosomal RNA (482 nucleotides) under uncultured bacterium. RNAcentral describes it as "partial 16S ribosomal RNA". It matches the Rfam family "Bacterial small subunit ribosomal RNA", at positions 30 to 507 of the family's 1533-position model. The record is from RNAcentral.